AUACUUUUGAAAACUUGGCAGCACAUAUCCUAAAAUUGGAACGAUACAGAGAAGAUUAGCUUGGCCCCUGCGCAAGGAUGAUGGGCAAAGUCAUAAAUUUUCCCUAGUUUUG
This is a non-coding RNA of Myotis davidii, 112 nucleotides long. Lineage: Eukaryota; Metazoa; Chordata; Mammalia; Chiroptera; Vespertilionidae. The record is from Rfam.